GCUGUCGGGGCAGUCCUACUGGCUGGACCUGUGGCUCUUCGUCCUCUUCGACCUGGCGCUGCUGGUGUUCGUCUACCUGCUGCCCUGAGGGCGCGGGCGCAGGAGACCGUAGGCCAGUGGAAAAGUAGCGUGUGUUGUUCUUUUUAGAGCGCUCGCCUCCUCACCCGGCUGCUCCAUGUGGGACCAAGGAGGGGAAGAUGAGCACUGCGUGUGCGGCACAAGCACUGCGGACCAGGGCUCAGCUUGCGCCUGAAUUCAGAAGACUGUAUAUACAUAUUUAUACGUGUGCUAAUCACAACAUAACCCUGGGUGUAGCACAAGCAAUAUUGCUUAGGGUUUUAGGGUCAUCCAUAUCCUGUUUAUUCUUUUUUUUUCCCCUUACUCUAAACUGUGCCUUAAGGUACUAUAAGAGAGUUUAACUGUGUUUUUGCAGUUAGUACCCAAAUGUUUAAGUGUAAAUGGAAAUAUGUACUACUUGAAUAAAAUAACAGAAAGGACAGACAGUAGAGGGGCUGAGAGUAAAAAAAGAGCUCUUGUAUAGACUGAAAGUGCAACUUGAACCCUUUUCUCCAUAGGCCAAUUUUUAUUCCUUACUGCUCUACCUUCAAGAAGUUAAUCAUGGGACUUGGAUGCCACCACUAUGGUUUUCUGUUCCACCGUUCUGUCUUUUUAUGGCAGAGUGCAUGAGUGCAGAGCAUUUUGUCAGGUACCUUUUGGAAUAUGUCGUGUUGGAAUACGACAUUCUGUCUUCAUGUUGUCACACCUGUAUGAUCAGAAAUAAAUUCAGGCCUUCUCUAAGGACUGAGAUGCCUUGAUCUGCUAGUGCUUUGGAUCCGAAACACUGAUGAAACCACUGCUGCACAAUCCUAAAUUCAUCAAAUUUUCACAUAUUGCAAUGUUUUUUCAAAUGAAGUAAUUUUUAAAAGUACAAGAUUGCUCAUAUUUCUGACUGCUGUUACUCAUGCAUAGUUCUGUCUUCCCUUGCCCCCAAACAAAAGUUUUCAUAGUGUAAUCUUAAGGGAAUGAGGURUCAGGAAGGCAUUGUAACAUUGCUCCCUUUCUCCUUGUGAAGGUGACAGACACCUCAGAAUGCAUCCUGACUUUUAGCUUUUUUUUUCCCAGAGAAGAUUCUGGCUCAUUCAAGUCAGAUAUGGCAGAAAUUUUAAGGAGCAUCAGGAAAAAUAAAGGUAACAAAAGCAGACAUAGGAUGCAUUGAGCUCAAGCUAUUUCAUAUGCUCUGGAGCACUUGAAACAUGUAUACCCAAGCAAAUUUAACUUACUCCUCUUGAAACAAAACUGGUAAGUCAGAAAGAUAGCCAGGAUAAUGAAUCAAGCAAUGGGGAUAUUAGGGUAGUGCAAUUGCUUUAUGUAUUUCAUGGCUCUUCAGAAAGCUAAAAGUAAUUUUACUAGCGUUAUAAGUAAAUUCUUCAGAAAAUUAAUUUUGCUGUUCAAAUAAGAUAAUUCAGCCUCCAUCUCUUCAAAUAUUCGAUCAUUACUAGCAGUACUAUCUCAGUGUGUCAAAGCAUAAUUCUAGAAAUCCAGAAUUGUUCAGAAAAGAAUGCAAGAGUAACAAAGACAGCACAAGAGAAAGACAUUUUAAAUUUUAUCUGAUAGUUCAAACAAGCAGAACUUUGCAAGAAAAUAAUUCUAAGGACUGAAAAAUAUAUUAAUUACAAGACUUGUUAAAUGUAUUUACUGUUACAAAAAUUAUCUAGGCUCUUAUACAAAUCUAUAGCCAGAAGGGGACACUUAUAAAAAAAUAAAUAGGCACCCUAGUUAAGUCAAAACAGGUUAUCACAUAUUUKUUAGCAAAUAUUACAUACAUACAUGGAGUGCAGAUUCAAAUAUAAAAACAAAGGUGUCUCAAAUAGCUGUCUAU
Nothoprocta perdicaria is the source of this 1879-nucleotide long non-coding RNA. RefSeq lists it as uncharacterized. The record is from RefSeq and is a predicted model, not a curated record. Lineage: Eukaryota; Metazoa; Chordata; Aves; Tinamiformes; Tinamidae. The transcript is spliced from 2 exons.